GACGAACCGUGCGAACGUUAUUCGGAAUCACUGGGCUUAAAGCGCGUGUAGGCGGGACGGCACGUCGGUCGCUGAAAUCCCCCGGCUUAACCGGGGAACUGGCGGCGAUACGACCGUCCUGGAGGGGCGUAGGGGGACCUGGAACUUCCGGUGGAGCGGUGAAAUGCGUUGAGAUCGGAAGGAACGCCCGUGGCGAAAGCGAGGUCCUGGACGCCUACUGACGCUGAGACGCGAAAGCCAGGGGAGCGAACGGG
Molecule: ribosomal RNA, 254 nt
Filed under: uncultured bacterium
Lineage: Bacteria
Description: partial 16S ribosomal RNA
Rfam family: Bacterial small subunit ribosomal RNA
Source: RNAcentral